RNAcentral lists this long non-coding RNA (274 nucleotides) under Ictidomys tridecemlineatus (thirteen-lined ground squirrel). RNAcentral describes it as "lncRNA (ENSSTOG00000032932.1)". Lineage: Eukaryota; Metazoa; Chordata; Mammalia; Rodentia; Sciuridae. The record is from RNAcentral.
CCUGCCAGAUGGCCACAGCUCACUGGGAGGCACCGGGCGAUGGAGGCUAGCUGCGUGCCCUGGACGGGAGGAAGUGGGUUGCUGAGCCCUGGGCAGCUCCCCACCCGCAGCUCACAGCGCCCACUUUAGACUGGAAGCCAGGAAGGCCGGCGGCAGACCAUGCUCUUCCCCACCCUCGGGAGACCGUCAGCUCACUCCAAGAUAAUUUGCUGUCGCCAGAGAAGCCAGUGAGCAGACCCCUGCUCUAGCAAGAACCUGAUCAGACACUGCCAAC